GUAUAUGAGGUGAUUAAUUGGAGGGCAAAUCGAGUGCCAGCAGCCGCGGUAAUACUUGUUCCAAGAGUGUGUAUGAUGAUUGAUGCAGUUAAAAAGUCCGUAGUUUAUUAUUAAGAAGCAAUAUGAGGUGUACUGUAUAGUUGGAAAGAGAUGAAUUGUGACGACCCUGACUGGACGAACUGAAGCGAAAGCUGUACACUUGUAUGUAUUUUUUGAACAAGGACGUAAGCUGGAGGAUCGAAGAUGAUUAGAUACCAUUGUAGUUCCAGCAGUAAACUAUGCCGACGAUGUGAUAUGAGAUGUUGUAUUACACUAUAGAAAUUAGAGUUUUUGGCUCUGGGGAUAGUAUGAUCGCAAGAUUGAAAAUUAAAGAAAUUGACGGAAGAAUACCACAAGGAGUGGAUUGUGCGGCUUAAUUUGACUCAACGCGAGGUAACUUACCAAUAUUUUAUUGUUCGGCGAGGAUAUGAUCUGAGG
RNAcentral lists this ribosomal RNA (477 nucleotides) under Vairimorpha ceranae. RNAcentral describes it as "SSU rRNA". It matches the Rfam family "Microsporidia small subunit ribosomal RNA", at positions 357 to 888 of the family's 1311-position model. Lineage: Eukaryota; Fungi; Microsporidia; Nosematidae. The record is from RNAcentral.